This 444-nucleotide ribosomal RNA is filed under the name uncultured bacterium. Its description in RNAcentral is "partial 16S ribosomal RNA". It matches the Rfam family "Bacterial small subunit ribosomal RNA", at positions 355 to 791 of the family's 1533-position model. The record is from RNAcentral.
UAGGGAAUCUUCCACAAUGGACGAAAGUCUGAUGGAGCAACGCCGCGUGAGUGGUGAAGGGUUUCGGCUCGUAAAACUCUGUUGUUGGAGAAGAACAGGUGUGAGAGUAACUGUUCACAUCUUGACGGUAUCCAACCAGAAAGCCACGGCUAACUACGUGCCAGCAGCCGCGGUAAUACGUAGGUGGCAAGCGUUGUCCGGAUUUAUUGGGCGUAAAGCGAGCGCAGGCGGUUUCUUAGGUCUGAUGUGAAAGCCUUCGGCUUAACCGGAGAAGUGCAUCGGAAACCAGGAGACUUGAGUGCAGAAGAGGACAGUGGAACUCCAUGUGUAGCGGUGAAAUGCGUAGAUAUAUGGAAGAACACCAGUGGCGAAGGCGGCUGUCUGGUCUGUAACUGACGCUGAGGCUCGAAAGCAUGGGUAGCGAACAGGAUUAGAUACCCUGGU